UACGUAGGGUGCAAGCGUUGUCCGGAAUUAUUGGGCGUAAAGAGCUCGUAGGCGGUUUGUCGCGUCGCCUGUGAAAACCUGGGGCUCAACCCCGGGCCUGCAGACGAUACGGGCAGACUAGAAUUCGGUAGGGGAGACUGGAAUUCCUGGUGUAGCGGUGAAAUGCGCAGAUAUCAGGAGGAACACCGGUGGCGAAGGCGGGUCUCUGGGCCGAUAUUGACGCUGAGGAGCGAAAGCGUGGGGAGCGAACAGG
This 253-nucleotide ribosomal RNA is filed under the name uncultured bacterium. RNAcentral's name for it is "partial 16S ribosomal RNA". It matches the Rfam family "Bacterial small subunit ribosomal RNA", at positions 524 to 776 of the family's 1533-position model. The record is from RNAcentral.